Long non-coding RNA from Melospiza melodia melodia, 2852 nucleotides. RefSeq lists it as uncharacterized. The record is from RefSeq and is a predicted model, not a curated record. The transcript is spliced from 3 exons. Lineage: Eukaryota; Metazoa; Chordata; Aves; Passeriformes; Passerellidae.
GAACUUUUGGGGAGAGUUGGGUUUUGACCUGGUGGGGACCUUGAGCUCUCUCCCUGAAGAGGGAUUUGUGGCUUAGGGGUUGGUUUUUAUUUGCAGGGUGCUUGGGCCUGAGACAAAACCAACAAACAGCUCUUAGGACACCUGCUUGACCUGCACUGCUUUGAUUUAAGGAAAUUAAACUCUGCCCCAUAGAGAAAGAGCUGAAAUCCUGCUGCUUUUGGGAAUGUUAUUUCAAUGUACUUGUUCAGUGAGUUGGCCUGGUAGUUUACAAUUCAGAAACCCUGGAGCACUUGUGAAUGGUGAGGGAAGUACACUAUUCAUUAUCUGCUGUCAGGCAUUCAUCAUGCCAGCUAAGCUUCAAUCCUCUCAUCAGGAUGCAGAACAUUACUUAUGACCAGUCACAGGCCAUGAAUAAUGGCUUAACGAAAUGAACAGUUCUUCAGCAGUUCAGACCCAGCUCACAGGAAAAGCUGAAGUUUGCCUGCACCAAAGCAUUGUAUGUUCUUUAUUUGAGAAAACAGAGGAAAAAUGCAACCCAAACAACAUUUCAGUUUCUCCAGCAAAAAGUUUCUAUUUUGAUUUAUUGAAAACUUGUCCAACCAGUUAUUUAUAUUUUAUCUGUGAAAGACUCAAAAAAAUUUCAUCCGAAACAUAUUUCCAUGGAAACGUCCAUCUUUGAUGAGAUGUCGUUCCUCAGAUGUUUCAGCUGAAGAAUUUUGUCAGUUCUGGCAGGAAAAAAAAAAAAAGAGUGGGGGACAGAACAAAGACCAAGCUCCCAGGAAAACAUGCAAUGCUUCAAGUUAAUGGGCUAAAAUGUCAGCUGGUAAACUGCCAUAAAGCCAGAGAAGUCAACCAGUCGACCCGAGUCAACGGAGCUAUGCUAAUUUACACAGAGGAUCUGGCCUUAGAUUUUAAUAGAACCAGCCAAGCAAGCUGUUUCUCCACUUGCCCAUCCUCCUCCCUUUUUAAUAAGCUCUCAGUCAUACUCAGCCUAUCCUUUAAUAAUUCACCCUUCUCUCCUCAUGAUCCCUCUUUCCUCUCUGGAGAUAAUGGGAUGGGAUUUUCUGCGCGCAGCCCUCACAGAAAUAUCGCAGGCAGGUUAAACUCCGCGCAGCUGGCUGCUGGCUUCUAACACAUCCCUCGUGCCUCUUCCUGCACUCUGAUAUCCAUCUUCCCUCUGGUCUCUGCUUAGCCAGGGCCAGCUGACUCCAGUGCAGGUUGCCAUAGAUUACGACCCAGUGCAUGGUGCUGUAAUCCAUGGAUCCCGGGAUGCUGAAGUAUUAAGCUCACAGAGCAAUCAAUUACUUUAAUGGGACUUGUGUGCGUCUGGCCACCGCUCUGGAAAACAGAUCUAUGAGAUAGCUCCAGGACACAAUCCAGCCUCUGGACCAAGAGGCUCCUCUGCUGCAGAAGUUUUUCUAGCUCGGGGCCAAACACAAUUGGCAAGGUGCACAUUAUGGGGUUUUUUUGUUGUUCUGUGUAACUACAGCAUGAAUGACUGCGUGAAACUCUCUGUCCUAUGUAACAUGUAGCUGUAUGAAAUAAAAACUCCAUCAUCACCAGUUACAGAGUUGCAAGUUUCUUACCCUGUUCCCCUAAAAUUUUUAAGACCCACCGGAUUACUUUUCCUAAUCUAGUUCUAGUUUCUUGUUGACCAUGUUCUUCCCUUUUUGCUGCUUUGGCUAAAUACAACAGAGAAGUGUUGAUGCAGAAAGACUCCCUUGCAGACCUUAAAAGGCUCAAGCAUAUUGGAAGAUCCUCAUUGAAAAAGGAGUGACACCUGAUUGCCAUAAAAGUAAAUAGUUCUGGGUCUCCAGAGGAUGUGAGCCCUUAUUUUCAGUGAAAUAUUUCAAAUAUUUCAGUUAUUUAUACCUGCUCUUGUUCACAUGGAGGAGUGAAGAUACCAUACAGAGCCUGAGAUGUGUCCUGUGUUGAUUUCUCAGACACCCAGAGCAUGGAGCAGACCUUUUGCACACCUUUUCCCACAGUAGCUGAGAUGAUGUUUGACUGUUCCAGGUACAGAGCUGUAACUGCAUCUUCCAGAGGAAUAAAAAGUAAUGUGUGCGAAUGGUUCCCUUACUGAAGCCCUGUGGACUCUGCAUUGAUUAAAUCAGUGUUUUGGAACGACAGAAGUGUGAUUGAUGUCAUUUGAAUUUCAGCUCAGCAUCUUGAUUGGCAUUUUUGUGUAAUGACUUUUCCUUAUUUGUUGAAUUUAAUUGAUGGUUGUUGCAUUUAUUUCCAAAGAACGUUGCUUUAAUUAAGAAAAAAAUCUCUGCUCUACAGAAAUUAAUAUUCCCCAUCUAUAUGGCACAAAAGGGUGUGUGGUGAACAUAGAGAAUAAUUAGUAGCUGUAGGAGGAGAACUUAUGAGAAGAUGAUUAUGAAUAUGUAAUAGAGGAAAUAGACUACAAGGAAAUUAAACCAAUAAAUUUAUGAGUGAAUAAUUGACCUCUGAGUAAAUAAGAGCGUUCUCUCCUCAGCCACUUGACGUGUUGUUAACCACUCAGUAUGUCAGAGCAUUAACCACCCUUUUAACCAACCACUCCUUUGCUGUUGGCAGCAACUCACUCUGCAGAGCUGCCUUGCUGUCUUGCAGGGUGAUGUGUGCACCCUGCCAUGAGCACACGCGGUGCCAGAGCUUUGGGGUGGCUGGGAGAAAGGUCAUGAUCUGUUACACACGUGUAAAUCUACCCUUAGCCAAAGGAAAUGUUUGCAGGGAGUAAUUAAAUCUGCUGCAAAACCAUGCUGUUCAAAACGAGAGCAAAAUUUUGUCAACUGCCACCAAAUGAAGUCAGGUCUUUCCACCAUUAGGGCAUCAACCCAAAGCUGAUAUUUUCAGAGUUGAUGGCAAAG